This is a microRNA precursor of Bison bison bison, 60 nucleotides long. Lineage: Eukaryota; Metazoa; Chordata; Mammalia; Artiodactyla; Bovidae. The record is from Ensembl.
AAAAAGGUCGUUCGGGUUUUUGUAGCAGAUGUUCUGGAAAGACCUGAAUGAACUUUUUGG